RNAcentral lists this ribosomal RNA (254 nucleotides) under uncultured bacterium. RNAcentral describes it as "partial 16S ribosomal RNA". It matches the Rfam family "Bacterial small subunit ribosomal RNA", at positions 524 to 776 of the family's 1533-position model. The record is from RNAcentral.
UACGUAGGGGGCAAGCGUUGUCCGGAUUUAUUGGGCGUAAAGAGCUCGUAGGCGGUUUGGUGAGUCGGGUGUGAAAUCUCCACGCUCAACGUGGAGGGGCCACCCGAUACUGCCAUGACUAGAGUCCGGUAGGGGAGUGUGGAAUUCCCGGUGUAGCGGUGAAAUGCGCAGAUAUCAGGAGGAACACCGGUGGCGAAGGCGGAUCUCUGGGCCAUUACUGACGCUGAGGAGCGAAAGCGUGGGGAGCGAACAGG